Molecule: ribosomal RNA, 408 nt
Filed under: uncultured eukaryote
Lineage: Eukaryota
Description: partial 18S ribosomal RNA
Rfam family: Eukaryotic small subunit ribosomal RNA
Source: RNAcentral
CAAUAGCGUAUAUUAAAGUUGUUGCGGUUAAAAAGCUCGUAGUUGGAUUUCGAAUGGGAGCGGUGGGUCGGGUCCGCAAGGGCUCGUUACCUGUUUCGUCUCCGGUUCUUUUUCGGGAUUGUUUUCUGGCGUGGCUGGCAUUGAGUUGUCGGUGGCGUCGGGCCCGUCGUUUACUGUGAACAAAUUAGAGUGUUCAAAGCAAGGUGUGUCUUGAAUACAUUAGCAUGGAAUAAUGAGACAGGACUUUGGUGGUUUCGGUGAAAGCCGGAUAUUUUGUUGGUUUGCACGCCAAAGUAAUGAUUAAUAGGAGCAGUUGGGGGUAUUCGUAUUCAAUUGUCAGAGGUGAAAUUCUUGGAUUUCUAGAAGACGAACUACUGCGAAAGCAUUUACCAGGGAUGUUUUCAUUAA